GUUGGGGAGGAAAAAACCUGUGGGCUAGUCUCUUGUCUGCCUGCCUGUGCUACUAGGAAGAAGGAAGAGCAGUAGGGGUCAAGGUGCUACUGCUCAGGAAGAUGAAACUCCUAUUCCUGCUGAUAGAGAUGUGGAUGAUUCUUGAGGUCACAGUAAAAAGGAUACUGGAUUAAUGGAACAAUCCUAUUCACAGGAAGCUGACAUUCUAAUGAAGAAGACAAGUGCAUACAUAGAAGUAAUGAGGUAAGAUCUUCAGCUGAGAAAGAUGAAGGAGAAGGAAGUAGGAGGGAUUUGAGCAGGGAAGAGAAGAUUUGGAAUGGCCUCUGUGGGGAUGAAGAUAAGAAAUCAAUUAGGGAGGAUUAAAAGACUGCCUUAAUGAUA
Molecule: non-coding RNA, 381 nt
Organism: Phascolarctos cinereus (koala)
Lineage: Eukaryota; Metazoa; Chordata; Mammalia; Diprotodontia; Phascolarctidae
Source: RefSeq, a predicted model, not a curated record